RNAcentral lists this ribosomal RNA (227 nucleotides) under uncultured bacterium. Its description in RNAcentral is "partial 16S ribosomal RNA". It matches the Rfam family "Bacterial small subunit ribosomal RNA", at positions 524 to 749 of the family's 1533-position model. The record is from RNAcentral.
UACGUAGGGGGCAAGCGUUGUCCGGAUUUAUUGGGCGUAAAGAGCGUGUAGGCGGCCAGACAGGUCAGCUGUGAAAACUCGAGGCUCAACCUCGAGACGUCGGUUGAAACCGUCUGGCUAGAGUCCGGAAGAGGAGAGUGGAAUUCCCGGUGUAGCGGUGAAACUGCGCAGAUAUCGGGAAGAACACCCGUGGCGAAGGCGGCUCUCUGGGACGGUACUGACGCUGA